GAGAGGCAGAAAUGGAGGUUGGGUCAGGCCUGGCUCAGACCCUAGGCUCUGUCACUGACUGGCUGUGUGGGUCCAGGAAAGUCCUUGUCCUCUCUGGGCCUCAGUUUCCUCUGAAGAAUGGGAGUGAUAAGCUAUGCCCCAUCUCCUUCACCAAAAGGAAGCAAGACCUGAUGGAGCUGCUGGGUAACUGGAGAUGCCUCCUGCUGGCUCCUUUCUGGGGUCCCUGCCUAGCCCUGUCCUCUCCUCUUACUUUCUGCCCUGGCUGAGUAGGCUGUGGCCAUGUGGUUACUGCCUUCUCUGGGCAUAGCUGAUUGCUUCAUAUGGCCUGACCUAAGGCUGCAUGUCCAAAGUCUGGUUGGUGGCCAGUCUAACUCACUUUUGAGAACCUGCACUAAAAGAGGUAGGGGGUGGGAAAAACUGGGCAGGCCAGCGGAGGUGGGGAGUGGCAGCUCUGAGACCUGAAGCCUCAGAACCAGCUCUCCUCCUCCUCUUCCUCCUCAAGAUGGACCUCAACUCACUGAACUCUGGUUCACUCUUUUGGUCCCAGAGCUAAUUCUUUGGUUGUUUAAGGUUUAGCAUAGGAGACCCCAAAGCAGCAAGGUUCUGGCCCUGGUUCUGCCACUUGCCAGCUCCACGCCCUCAGAUCAGUGGCUUCAGAGCCUCAACGUGCUCAGCUGUGAAACAGGGACAGGGUGAGGCCUUCCCAGGUAUGAUCCACUGUGCCCAUCCUGGAUGCAGACUUUAAGCAGAGUCACAUCAACAAGAAGAGCUGUGAAGGUCAGGGCAUGACCCACAGAUGCCCAAACACUGCACUGGAGGUCCAGGAAGAUUCUGCUGACAACGCAACCCUGAGCCAAGAUCUGAAGGAUAAGAGGGAGCUUAUAACAUGGAAGAAGGAACAGUAUUCCUGGCAAGUGGAACAGCAUGUGCAAAGAUCCAGAAAGCCCAGGACAUAACAGAGCCGCAGUGCCUGCCCUGAUCCACGCGCACACAGAUCUAGCCCAGGAACAAGCCCAUCCACGGUGAGGAACUUGUGGCCCAGUGGCUGGAGCCUCUCACCUGAGCCCUCACUGCCUGAGGACCCCCAGCCUCUGGCCUCAUUUCCCACCCUUUGCCAGCCAGCCUUGGGGACAAAACAGGUCUGGAUCUAAUCCAAGGUCUGGACUCACCCUGACACCCUGUGAACUCAAGGCCUUCCCUACCUCACCCUGGGCCCAGAGCCCCUACCUGUAAAGUGGAAGUGGGAAUGGCCACCAGCCAGGCAGAAACCCUCACUUAGGGCCUCAUGGCCAGGCAUCAGGACAGUCAGGAGAGGGGCCGAGGUAAGCCACAGAGGCCCUGCCUGUCUUGGUAUCCCACCAUCGCCAGGAGGGGACUGCAUGGGCAUCACACCCCUCACAGAUGAACAAAGUGAGGCAGAGAAGGGCCUCAAGAUGAGUUAGGGGCGAGGCCCCAGCUCUGCUGCUGCCCCUUCCCUUAUCACCCCUGCAGCCUGGGAUGCGAGGGUGGCCAGUGACAGACCCCAAGGACUCUAGGCUAAGGUCUCCUUACCUGCGUUCUGUGGCCUGCUCCCCGCCUGCAUGCCGCCUCAUGGGGGUCCUCUGGCUGGCCCAGGAGCACGGUUGGCCCAGCAGAGCAGCUCAGUGUUAUGGGGAAGGGAGGCCCAGCCCACCACGCCGACCGCCUGGGGCCCUAUGUAUAUUUAAUGAUGUCUAUUAUUCCUGUUUUGUCUCUGGAAAGGAGUGAGCAGCUGACAGGGGAGCCACGAACAGCCUGGAGAGCUGAGCAUGGGCCUGCUCCACACUCCAGCGGGGCCCGAGGCCCCCGGGAACUCUACCCCUCCUGGCAGCCUCACAGAACCUGCUGCAUCCAUCUCAAAAGGCAUACCUCCUCCAGGAAGCCUUCCCCGCUGCUCAGAGGUCUUAAAUCCGGGGUCUGCACUCACAAACUGUGCAGCCUACACCAGCUUCUGGGGGACAGCAGAACACUGUGGGGGGCCUGGCACAGUCCCUGGCACACGGUAGGCACUCAUCGAGCCCCUGCCAGCCCCUCUACUCCUGACUUCUGAGGCAACAGGAAAUGACCCGCCACCUUGUUCUCACAGAGCCUCCCUGCCAGCCCAGAUGGUCACAAGGGCCUCCUGGGAUGCUGCCCACCUUGGCAGCCAGGCCCCUCCGGAGGGGCCAGUCUGGGCCUGACACCCCCGAACACCAACCCCCUGGGCAGAGCCUGCCUGUGCCUGGGUGAGGAACCCUGCAGUCUCCUUGCCACACAAGGCCUGGGUCUGCCUUGGGGCCCAGGCUGCACCCUC
Molecule: long non-coding RNA, 2311 nt
Filed under: Homo sapiens (human)
Lineage: Eukaryota; Metazoa; Chordata; Mammalia; Primates; Hominidae
Description: HSALNT0388872
Source: RNAcentral